UCCGUUGGUGAACCAGCGGAGGGAUCAUUACCGAGUUUACAACUCCCAAACCCCUGUGAACAUACCUUACUGUUGCCUCGGCGGAUCAGCCCGCUCCCGGUAAAACGGGACGGCCCGCCAGAGGACCCCUAAACUCUGUUUCUAUAUGUAACUUCUGAGUAAAACCAUAAAUAAAUCAAAACUUUCAACAACGGAUCUCUUGGUUCUGGCAUCGAUGAAGAACGCAGCAAAAUGCGAUAAGUAAUGUGAAUUGCAGAAUUCAGUGAAUCAUCGAAUCUUUGAACGCACAUUGCGCCCGCCAGUAUUCUGGCGGGCAUGCCUGUUCGAGCGUCAUUUCAACCCUCAAGCCCUCGGGUUUGGUGUUGGGGAUCGGCGAGCCUUUCUGGCAAGCCGGCCCCGAAAUCUAGUGGCGGUCUCGCUGCAGCCUCCAUUGCGUAGUAGUAAAACCCUCGCAACUGGAACGCGGCGCGGCCAAGCCGUUAAACCCCCAACUUCUGAAUGUUGACCUCGGAUCAGGUAGGAAUACCCGCUGAACUUAAGCAUAUCAAUAA
This 551-nucleotide ribosomal RNA is filed under the name Fusarium sp. AB23. RNAcentral's name for it is "eukaryotic LSU rRNA". The stretch from base 180 to 333 matches the Rfam family "5.8S ribosomal RNA". The record is from RNAcentral. Lineage: Eukaryota; Fungi; Ascomycota; Sordariomycetes; Hypocreales; Nectriaceae.